CCUCCUGACGCAGCCGCCUGAGUCACACCAAGCCUAGGUCGAGGUACGACAUGGUAUCAGAGCCAGGUUCGGCGGCGACCUCACCCGCGACGGGGGCGACCUUCCCGGCGAUGGCGGCGGUGCUAGCUUGAGGCGAGGCGGCGUGGUCCAAGAAGGGCGGUGUGCUCGCCCUCGAGCGACGGUCGCCUGCAGCAGGGCGGCGCACGGAGGUGCGUGGGCCAGGGGGGCACCAUGUGAGGAGCUCUGCGUGGGGCCAUGGCAGAGCCGCUGGAGAGGGAGAAGAUGGGGAAGCUGCUCAUGACACCAGGUUGGGAGCAGUCGCGAGAAGAUGAAGCUCAAGGUGGUUGUGUGCGUGGGUUGCCAGAGAAGACAUGCGGCUCUGUUGCCGGACAGGAUGCUCACGUGACGUGGAAGGAGAAGGCGGUGGAGACGGUCAUGGACUUGGAGGAGCAGGCAUUGUGGGUACAGAAGAAUUUGGCGUGUGGAGCUCGGUGCGAGGCACGGCGCAGCAGGCACUUGCUGCAGCGUGGACCGCAGUGGCGCAAAUAGUGGAGUAGGGCACAGAGGAUGCCCUUGAUGUGGCUUUAAAUUCAGGACUCCCUGGUGUCGAGAAGAUUGAGAUGGCGCCGGUGCCCUUGGUGGAGGGGAUGGUUCCCGUGAAGGGGGAGCAGCUGACGGAGAUUGAGGUGCCAACUGGGUGUUUGGAAGGAGAAGCCGGCAUUGGGGAGGUCAUUGAUGUGAAGAAGAGGAAGAUGGAUGGUAAGGUUGUUGCUCCUGCUGAUCUGAAGUUGAAGGUUGCAAAUAAAAAUGAGGAGGUGCUGAUGCAAAGGGGCAUCAAUGAGUGGAGCCAGCAUGAGCUGUUGGAGCUUCUCAAGGUGAUUCUGGGUGAGAUUGGUUCUCGUAGUGAGAUGGUUGGAGCUGCGAACUUUGUGCAUACUGUUGAGAAGGCCGAAAACGUUGUGUUUACGGCUCAUGGAACAUGUCCGGAAUGCAUUCGGCAAUUCGAAGGAGUUUGAACACUACGACUCGUAUCCUCCCACACACAAGGAAACUGUUUAGAUUGCUAAUGGCACAAGACAACCCGUCGUUGGAGUAGGGUCAGUGCAGUGUACUCCAGCUAUCAAACUGUACUCGACUUUACAUGUUCCUACGUUCCCGGUGAACCUUGUGUCAUUGGGUGCUCUUGGAAUUAUUCUUGACAAAGUGGGCUGUUCAAUACAGGAACAACAGACAGGAAGACAAAUUGGUGCAGGAACUAGGCGUAGAGGAUUGUGGUACAUGGAUCGAGAGGAAAAUGGCCAGACGAGUUGCUCUGUGUUUGCUGCAGUGGUUAGAGAGAGGGAGACCAAGGCAAUGAUUAACCAUUGCAGGAUGGGUCAUGUCUUUUGACAAGAUGUAUAAGGUGUUUCCGGAUAUGAUGAAAGGAGUGGAUAAAGAACAAAUGAGAUGUGAUGCAUGUGAGUUUGCAAAGCACACACGGACUGUUUAUCUGAGUAGGGGAUUGAGGAGUAUAACCCCAUUUACGCUGGUGCACUCUGAUGUUUGGACAUACCCUGUUACUUCUAUGAGUGGAAUGAAAUACUUUGUGACAUUCAUCAAUUGCCACACACGCAUGACUUGGUUUACCUCAUGAAACAUAAAGAUGAAGUGUUCACCUAUUUUAGGGAUUUUUAUCCCUUUGUGCAAACACAAUUUAAGGUGCAAGUCCAAGUGCUUAGAUCUGAUAAUGGACAGAGUAUAUCAAUAAGAAGUUUGGGGGUUUCCUUUCAGAUCAUGGAAUCUUGCAUCAGACCUCUUGUCCAGAUACCCCACCACUGAAUGGCGUACUUGAGAGAAAGAAUCAUCACAGCUUGGAGGUGGCUAGGUUGUGCACAAUGAAUGUUCCAAAGUUCCUUUGGAGUGAAGCUGUGAUGACGGCUACCUUUCUCAUAAAUCGUACACCUUCCAAAAUCUUCCAAACGAAGUCUCCAUGUGAGUUGUUGCUAGGUGAAAACAAGUUUGAAGUUCCUUCUAAGGUGUUUGGCUGCACUUGCUUUGUUAGGGAUCACAGGCCCUCUGUCACAAAACUUGAUCCGAAGGCAAUCAAGUGUAUCUCUUCAUUGGCUACCCCUCUGGACAGCGAGGGUACAGAUGUUGGAGUCUCUCCGAUAGGCGCACAUUUGUAAGUGCUGAUGUUACUUUUUGGGAAUCUAACCCGUUUUAUGGUGAACCAACAGAUUUGAGCAUAUUGUCGAGACGCUUGACCAGCGGGAAUCUGCAGCCGGUCAAGAGGGGAGUGUUGGCAAUCCUUCUAGUAGUCCUGCUGCUAUUUCUUCAAAUGGACAACAACAACAACCUCUUGUUGGUUCUAUUCCUCUGAUUGUCGGUUCUAUUCCCAUCCCUGUAACAACGGAAGUGCAUAAUGGCAUGAGGUGGCCAAAGGUUAACGAAGAGCAGAACCCUCGUGUCUACUCCCGAAGACACAAGGUUGAGCAGCAGGGGGUGCAACAGCAUUAGGGGGAGAUGCAGAAUGUAUGUUCACAGUGUGAAGAUGAGUCAUCUGAAGGCAGUUCGUCAGAAAGUGAGUCAGGAGAUAGAUCAGGUGUAUCCCCCUCAAGCUUGCCAAUUGCAUUAAGAAAGGGAACAAGAGAAGCUGCAGCAAAACCGAUUGAGAAAUAUGGUUUUGAGCACAAUAUCAGAACUAUGUAUCUUAUGAUGCUUUCUCCGUCUUAUAGAGCGUUUGUUGCCUCACUUCAGACCAUUUCGAUUCCAUCAGAUUGGAAAGUUGCAAAGCAGGAUCCUAAGUGGUGCGCAGCCAUGAGAGAGGAACUGGAGGCAUUAAGGAAGAAUGAAACAUGGGUGCUAACUGAUCUCCCAAAAGGAAAGAAGGUUGUUGGUUGCACAUGGGUCUAUACGGUGAAGAAAAAUCCCGAAGGGAAGAUAGAGAGGUAUAAGGUAAGGCAGGUUGCAAGAGGCUAUACUUAGACAUAUGGGAUGGACUAUGAUGAAACCUUUGCUCCCGUGGUGAAGAUGAACACCUUGAGUACUCCUGUAUCAUGUACAACGAACCUUUGGGUCUUCAUCAGCUAGAUGUGAAGAAUGCCUUUCUGCAUGGCGAUCUUCAAGAGAAGGUAUACAUGGAGGUACCACCAGGAAUGGCUGCGGCCGGCAAUGGUGAGGGGAAGUUAUGCAGGCUGAAGAAAGCACUUUAUGGGCUGAAACCAUCUCCAAGAGCUUGGUUUGAUAGGUUCAAGCGUGUUGUUUGUGGAAUGGGGUAUGGACAAUGUAAUGUUCAUCGCAUUGUGUUUACAAGCGUUCAAACCGAAAGAUAACCAUCCUGGCCAAAUAUGUGGAUGAUAUUAUAAUCACUGGAGAUGAUGAGGCUGAGAUAUGUGGAUUGAAGCAAUGUCUCAGCAACACAUUUGAAAUAAAGGAUCUUGGCCAGUUGAGGUACUUCUUGGGCAUAGAGGUUGCAAUGUCAAGCAAGAGAAUAGUGUUGUCACAACGAAGGUAUACUCUGGAUCUACUCAAUGAUGUGGGCAUGAUUGGGUGUCGAGCAGCUGCCACUCCUAUUGAAUCACAAUAUAACAGCGGAAUCUGGUGAGCCUGUAGACAAAGAUAGAUACCAGAGACUUGUGGGCGGACUACUCUACUUAUGUCACACUAGGCCAGAUAUAACCUUUGUCGUGAGUGUCAUAAGUAGGUAUAUGCAUGAUCCAAGGAGUGAACACCUUGAGGUUGUUAACCGCAUCUUGAGAUAUCUAAAGGGUACCCCACGAAAGGGUUUGUUGUUUGAGAGUAAUGGACACCUAGUUGUGGAUUGGUACAAUGAUGCAGACUGGGGAAGUUGCUUGGAUGACCGACGAUCAACUUCAGGGUAUUGUGUGUUUGUCGGAGGAAACUUAGUGUCAUGGAGAAGUAAGAAGCAACCUGUGGUGUCAAAAUCAACAGCUAAAGCAGAAUACAGAGCCAUGUCCCAGGGGUUGAGUGAGAUGUUGUGGGUGAGAAAUCUUCUAACUGAGUUGAAGCUGCUAAGAGAAGGGCCCCUGCAUGUCUGGUGUGACAAUUGGUUAGCUAUAUGCAUAGCAAACAAUCCAGUGCAACAUGACAGAACUAAACAUAUUGAGAUUGACAGGUUCUUUAUCAAAGAGAAGGUAGAUGCGGGGAUAAUCAAAAUAGAUCAGGUGAGUUCAGGGCAGCAGAUUACAAAUUGCUUGACCAAGGGACUGGGAGCUAGAGAAUGCAGUUUGGCCCGUGACAAGAUGGGGAUGAUAGAUACACCCAUCUUGAGGGGGAGUGUUGGACUGGCAAGUGACACAAGGCCCAGCCCAUUAGGCCCAUCACUUGUUUAGAAGAACUAGAGAGCCACCUCCUCCUGACCUAGCCGCCUGAGUCACACCAGGCCCAGGUCGAGGUUCGACACAGAUGCUUCAAUAUUAAGGUCCGUCAACAAUGAGGACAAUGUCUUCUCUGACGCGCCUCCAUGGUGAGGCGUCAGAGUUGUUCUGCUGCUGCGCUAACGCAUGCUUUUAAGGUUCGUUAGAGGUUUUCCUUUACUAAGUUUAAUUAAUUCAUUGACAGUACAAAUAGAUGUAUGACCAAUAGAGCUCGCUACAGCUAACAAUACACACACAUGCACUAGCACUAGCACAUGCUACACAAUACUCAGAGUCAUCUUCAAAAUUUCCAUCGAUGGAGGAGGAGCAGGAAGCGGAGUCCCUAAGCCACGACAUUAUUGAUUCAACUCCUUCGCCGGUGUAUCCACUAUUCCACUAUGGCCCAUAUUCGAAGAUUGGAAACUUUGAGAACAGAUCGAGAAGUAGCUAGGGAAAAUGGUGUACAUGUUUUUAUAUAGGUUGUUAUACCAUUGACGUGUCUACGCUCAAGAAGCAUCAGGGGUGUAAAUGGAACCUCUAUUGAGCCCACGCUUCCCUAGCAUUGGUAGAGCAGAGCAGGGAUAUAGAAGAAUGAGAAGCUCAGCUCCAGACCUGCCAUCAUUGCUAUUGGACGCUCGAAUUAUAUUUCUUGGAAUGCCAGUCAGAGAUGGACUCCAAUUGUUCCAGCAGCAACUGAGCUUAUCGUCGCACAAUUUCUGUGGCUAGAUUGUGAUGAUCGCACCAAACAAAUUUACUUGUAUAUAAACUUCACGGGAGAUGCAUAUGCAAUUGCUGAUUUUUUCAAUGUAAGCACUUAACUUAGAUUAACAGGACACUUGACAUAUCUUUAUACCACGCUCAUUUACAAAAUUUAUCAUGUCCAGUCUCCUGUGUCAAGUGCAUAGUGGGUGCUGCAUCCAUGAAGGAUGUUUGCAUUAAUGAUGCACUAUUUUCACUAUUGACCCUAUGUUUCAAGUUCCAACAUCAUGAUUGAUUAUAUUGUUUAACAGUUUUUCUACAAAUGCACACCCCAUUCCAUUCAGCCCUUUGGGGUUUGCAGUCUAUGACAGUGAAAUAUUUUGCAUAUUGUAUUGUGCUCCUUAUAUUUGCUAUCAGAGAUGCUAGCUGUUACAUAGAUUCUUAAAUUUUGCUUGCACAUUUUUUAAGGGCUCUUGAGUUCACUUAACUAGUGAUUAGUGAACCAUGAAACUACAUCUAUAGAAGGUGAUCACCUAUACCUCUCAGACUGUGCAGUUACGCCGUAGCAACUGUGUUGACUACGUACCUUGUAUGGGGCGGGGCUAAGCUUAAAUACCCUUGUACUACUAGGGCCUUGCUUUCCCGAGGGAAGUAUCAGCUUAGCCCCGCCCCAUAGGUACGUAGUCAACACAGUCGCUAUGGCGCUUAAGCACGUGUAAUCACUUAUAGCUUAACCUUAUAGGAAAGCCUAGUGGAACCCACCUUCCAUGUGCCUUCGACCUUCCAAAGUUUCACCAGAUCACGCCCAUGGAUGGCGAUCACUAUGCUAUUUUAUUCACUUCAGAAAAUAAGUUUGGUUUGUGUGCUAUUUUAGAAGAGAUAGAAACUUUUGUUAAAGAGUAUCAAUGGACAUGAGCAAGACACUGGACAUGCCAAGUGACGGAUAGGUAAUGGAGUUAGAUGGGUUUGCUUGAUUAACUCCUGCUUUUGAAAAGAUAUGAAGUCCGAUAAGGGCUUAUUCCAAAAAAAUGCAUCAAACGCAUGAAAUGCAAUGCUAAUGAUAUGCUCAUGAUAAUGAUUUAGAGAAUGUGUCAUAGCAAAGAAUCAAAACAUUUGCGAAAUGCAAUGCUAAUGAUAUGCUCAUGAUAAUGAUUUAGAGAAUGUGUCAUAGCAAAGAAUCAAAACAUUUGCAUCUAAGGCUUUGGGCAGUUUUAUGUACUGCUCCCUCCGUUUCAUAAAGAUUGGCACGGCUUUGAACUAGCUCUAGUUUAAAUCCGUGCCAAUCUUUAUGGAACAGAGGGAGUAUACAUUUUUAUUGAGGUUUAAAGGAUUUAAAGCUAAAUAACAUCAUUUAAGAACUAGUUAUAUUUUUUUGAGGUUUAUUAAGUCACGUUAGAAAUUAUCUGACUGACAGUUUAUUGCUGAAAGGUUUGACAUUUUGAACUGAAUUUGGAUUCUCCUCAUAAAUUUUACCAUUUUGUACUGACUUCACUAAAGGUCUACCUGAUUUGGUCAUCCUAAAGCUAACUGAUGUAUACCUGGCUCAAUUAACCAGAAAGUUAACUGUCCUACCCAGAUUACCCAAAGACCUAUGGGCACAAGCAUUUUACUGAAACUCUGAAGAUUUGCUGGAACUACGGAUUUCAUGGAACAUGGGGUUAAAACUUAUCUAAAAAGGACCACUGAGCCAGCAGACAGAGAUUCGUUUGAGCAAGGUAGCAAGGUCAGUUGAAUAAACUCGUCCAAAAGGACCAGAGUUUUUUCAGCAAGUAGGAAGCUUAUCUGAAAAUCCACCUCUGAAGUCAGAAGCAACCGAGUAUUUCAAGGCUAGCAGGCAUUCAAAUAGCAUCUGCAAUGAUGUUUGACAAGUACAAAAGGUUACACAAUACUACAUCCGUCCCACAAUAGGAAGCGUAUUACCUUCUUUUUCUUUUGACCAAUGCUUUGACCACAAAUUACUCUGUUAAUAUAUAAUUAUAUGACAUAGAUUCAUAUCCAUUAUAUUUCUACUUAAGGAUAUUUGCUUAUGGUUA
Molecule: long non-coding RNA, 7087 nt
Organism: Brachypodium distachyon (stiff brome)
Lineage: Eukaryota; Viridiplantae; Streptophyta; Magnoliopsida; Poales; Poaceae
Exons: 3
Source: RefSeq, a predicted model, not a curated record